CCUACGGGAGGCAGCAGUGAGGAAUAUUGGUCAAUGGGCGAGAGCCUGAACCAGCAAAGUAGCGUGAAGGAUGACUGCCCUACGGGGGGGAAACUUCUUUUAUAAAGGAAUAAAGUGAGGCACGUGUGCCUUUUUGUAUGUACUUUAUGAAUAAGGAUCGGCUAACUCCGUGCCAGCAGCCGCGGUAAUACGGAUGAUCCGAGCUUUAUCCGGAUUUAAUGGGUUGAAAGGGAGCGUAGAUGGGUUGUUAAGUCAGUUGUGAAAGUUAGCGGCUCAACCGUAAAAUUGCAAUUGAUCCUGGCAGUCUUGAGUACAGUUGAGGUAGGCGUCAUUC
Molecule: ribosomal RNA, 334 nt
Filed under: uncultured bacterium
Lineage: Bacteria
Description: partial 16S ribosomal RNA
Rfam family: Bacterial small subunit ribosomal RNA
Source: RNAcentral